UGAGGGUCUACUGUGUGCCAG
RNAcentral lists this microRNA (21 nucleotides) under Cavia porcellus (domestic guinea pig). Its description in RNAcentral is "Cpo-Mir-493_3p* (star (passenger))". The record is from RNAcentral. Lineage: Eukaryota; Metazoa; Chordata; Mammalia; Rodentia; Caviidae.